GAGUGAGAGUGCUGACGAGCAGCGGACGGCUAAGUAAUGCGUAGGAAUAUACCCUAAAGUGAGGAAUAACUGCCCGAAAGGGUUGCUAAUACCGCAUGUGCCCAAUUUAUUGGGUAAAGCUUUUUAGCGCUUUAGGAAUAGCCUACGUUCGAUUAGCUAGUUGGUGAGGUAAUGGCUUACCAAGGCUACGAUCGAUAGCUGGUCUGAGAGGAUGACCAGCCAGACUGGAACUGAGAUACGGUCCAGACUCC
This 251-nucleotide ribosomal RNA is filed under the name uncultured bacterium. RNAcentral describes it as "partial 16S ribosomal RNA". It matches the Rfam family "Bacterial small subunit ribosomal RNA", at positions 74 to 339 of the family's 1533-position model. The record is from RNAcentral.